CCUACGGGUGGCAGCAGUGAGGAAUAUUGGUCAAUGGGCGCGAGCCUGAACCAGCCAAGUAGCGUGAAGGAUGACUGCCCUACGGGUUGUAAACUUCUUUUAUAAAGGAAUAAAGUGAGGCACGUGUGCCUUUUUGUAUGUACUUUAUGAAUAAGGAUCGGCUAACUCCGGGCCAGCAGCCGCGGUAAUACGGAGGAUCCGAGCGUUAUCCGGAUUUAUUGGGUUUAAAGGGAGCGUAGAUGGGUUGUUAAGUCCGUUGUGAAAGUUUGCGGCUCAACCGUAAAAUUGCAAUUGAUACUGGCAGACUUGAGUGCAGUUGAGGUGGGCGGAAUUCGAGGUGUAGCGGUGAAAUGCUUAGAUAUAACGAAGAACUCCGAUUGCGAAGGCAGCUUACUAGACUGCAACUGACAUUGAUGCUCGAAAGUGUGGGUAUCAAACAGGAUUAGAUACCCGGGUAGUC
This 460-nucleotide ribosomal RNA is filed under the name uncultured bacterium. RNAcentral describes it as "partial 16S ribosomal RNA". It matches the Rfam family "Bacterial small subunit ribosomal RNA", at positions 338 to 795 of the family's 1533-position model. The record is from RNAcentral.